GAAACCCUUACAGAAAAAGAACAUUUUAAUAAUAACAGAGGCUUCUUCUCCAUGGACUUAAACAAUAAUAUUCAAGGUCAGAGCCUGGUUAAAGUUUUCUUCUGGUGGGUUUUUGGUGAAGGACACAAGAAGCACCUGUAAUGCCUCAUGUCCAAGAACUUGAUGUCACAAAUACAAGACACUAUGGGGGGACACCAUUUUAUCUUUGAAAACUGCUCCUCGUGCUCCAGGGUGUGGACACGCUGUGGUUGCCAAGCAGCAAUCAAUAUCCACCAAUAUCCACUUCCCUGAGCAUUCCAGACUCAGACAACCAUCAAAUCCAUGGUUUCAAAGCACGUUGGAUGAAUUUUACCCAGUACAAACAAGAGCUUCUGGUAUUGCAUACUGCCAAAAAUAUCUCUCCAAAGGAAACCAAUUUGGGAUUGCUACUGGAGUCAGGCAGAGAAGAAAGGAGGGAGCUGGCACCUAUGAAUUUGUCACCCAAAUUUCUCAAGGAAAACUGCCUCUUGAUUCCCAAGAGAGGAACAAACAGCUCAGAGUCUCUAGCCAAAGGCCAGAUGCUGAUGCAAAUCCUUGGAUAAUGCAGUUCAUAGCAGGAUCAUCUGGCAGAAGUGCCUUCCAAGGGUACAGAUGCACCACCAGCAUGCUCCCAAAACCAACCCCAGCCCACAAGCAACCUGAUACUGGCCUUACAGCCCCUGCAGUGGCUUAUCCUGGCAUUGCUGAGCAGGCUGGGGUAAGCUGUUUCCACACCUCCUUGCUGUGCUGAAGCAGCAAAAUUGGAACAGUUCUCCAGCUCCAUCCUUGCUCAUCUGAGCUGUUUGUGACCAGAGGAAUUUUAAUCCUCCCCAGAGGAGCAGGCAAUGGGUGUCUCAGUCUGUCUCUUUGCCACCUGCACAGUGGCAGUGCUGGCACCAAGCCUGAUACAAGACCCCAAAAGAGGUUUACUGCACCUGCACAAUUGUCCACCACAGAGAGUUUCCCAGGCUUUCCCCAAAAUUUCAAGAAG
Passer domesticus (house sparrow) is the source of this 1009-nucleotide long non-coding RNA. RefSeq lists it as uncharacterized. Lineage: Eukaryota; Metazoa; Chordata; Aves; Passeriformes; Passeridae. The record is from RefSeq and is a predicted model, not a curated record. The transcript is spliced from 3 exons.